GAAGCCAUUUUGAAAUGCAACCAGCAGACGCCAGCCACGUGCCUUCCCAGCUGACCGAGUAUUCUGGACACCAUCGGCCGUUCUUCAGUGAAGGUGCCCUCUUGUUGAUGCCUUAGUGUGGACAGCUUUAUGGAUUUAGAACUGCAAAUCUGUAACCUAAUAAACCCCCUUUAUAAAAGCUAAUCCAUUUCUGGCAUUUGGCAUAACCGCAGCUCUAGCAAACUGGAACAACCAGUAAAUGACUCGGCAACCCUUUGGGGAUGUAAGACUGCAAAGAAAAGCCUGAGAACCAGCUCCCGAGCCCACCCACUCCCCACCCCACCCCGGCCCACCCGCACACAGUGGGGCUGCUCACAGUUGCUUCCCGGGGUUCAGCGAGCCCAUGUCGAUUUCCCGGUCAAAGUCAGUGCGGAUGUCAUCGAGCGUGCCGUCGUCCCCAAAAGCCCCCCACUCCAUGUUGACGCACAUGCGCCCCUCGUCGCCCUCCACCAUGUCGAUGUGGCGCAUCUCCUCCAUGUAACAGGCAUUGCUGCCCGUGCCUGGCAAAGCAAGGGGCUGCUCAGCACCCACCCGCUCCACCCUCACCCCCAACUGUCCCACUGUGGUGGGGACUCCCCACUGCAGACCCCUGGAGGCCCCAGGCAUGUCCUGAUCCUCUACAGCCCAAACUGCAUGAGCAAACAGAACACGGGGCUCAGCCUGCUCGUGGCCUUAACAUUCACCCAGCAAUUUCCUCCUGCCCUCUUCUCAGCGCGGAAACUGAGGGCUGUCAGAGCGUCAGCUUAUAGGAAUUCUGGGUUACCCACCAUGGCAUCCAGGCCAGGCCCUCCAAAGGGACCACACACUCUGUCUUCAAAUGCCAAGUACAAAGGAACACCCAGGCCACGUGACCCUCCUUCCUACCCAGCACACACCCCCAACUCACCCACAAUGAGCCCGAUCUCGCAGUUUUGGUCGUCGUAGCCACACGUCAUCAUGGUCCCCACCGUGUCGUUCACCACAGCCACAAUAUCAAUAUCAAAGUCCUGUGGGGGUGAAAGGGAGGGUUCUGGGCAUGGAGGCUUAGAGAUAAAGAGCAGCACAGCUCCAGUGCAAUGGCAGGGCCCCCUGGCCAAGCCCACUCAGACCAAGGAGGUGAGUGAGAGCUGAAGUCUGAGUCCAGAUCCAGUCUGACAGCAGCAACUGGCUCCCAUCCCACUUACCCUCAUCACCGAAGACUUUGCUGAUCCUUGCCCCCGAGGUCUUGUCUGGAGCCAUUACUGCACUAAGAAGAGACUGUCUGAUCUUCUCUUUGUCUCCCUCUAUCCCAAUAACUGCUCCCAUGAUACGAUCUGUAUCUUGCUCUAUCUCCCAUUUCAUCCUGGUGUCAAUGUCAUCCCUAUUUUCUUACUCAACAGUGAUACUCAAGUCUUCUUCAGGUUGAGGACCAAAGGGCUUUUCCUGCACUGAGGCUAAGAUUAUUUACUCAGUGUGCUCAUCUUAAAAUCCCAAGGGCUUCUGAUCACACACAAGAUUAUUGGAAAAACUUGUCUAGUCUUUCCUGGGGGCAAUUCAAAGAAUUUAUCUUUGCUAACUUCAAAAUGGAGUCAAGAGUCAAGAGUGCUGAAGAAUCAACAGGGUUCUGUGGACGGGCAGCCUCACACCCAGGAUUUUGCUGAGGGGAUGGCAGCUCCUAAGCCUGCUAACCUGCAUUAGAAACAGCCAGAUUCAAAGUCAUCCAGGGAUUUCCGUCAGCCCCCAGACCCUUGCCUUUGCUUUGCCUUCCUUCUCGGCAGCUCAACAACCUCAAGAGAGGGGCAACCCCGUGGGUCUUUAGAAGCCCGGGCCAGGGGCAUUGUGGUGCAAAGAAAGCAAGCAGGGGCCAAGGACGCUGAGCAAAUUCCAAAGGCCAGCUGGGCCAUGUGGCAAAAUCUAAAAAGCCAAGGCAGUGGUGGGGAGGGACAACCUUCCUCUUCCUCUCCAGGGAGAAGCAGAUUCCACGAAACCAGACGUUCUCAAAAGGGUGGCCCAGCAGCAAUUCCAAAAGAUGGAUAAAGCAAAGAUCAGGCAAUGCCAGGGCUCUCUUGCCAAGAGAGGACACCAGUGCCCAGGUGCCAACUCCCCUUGCAGAUUAAAAUCAAGCAUUUUAAUAUUCAAAUGUGAUUUCUGGAGAGAUAUUCAGCAAUAUCUGCUCUUCUGAUGGGAAGUGGAUAGGAGACCAGUAUGAUUAAACAAAUUCCCAGCAUCUUCUUCCUGGUACUCUAGUCAUAUGAUCUUUAAUGUAAAUAAUUGUUAUUCAGAAAAAGGGAAGUGGUAGAAGCUGUGCAACCAGAUAAGGCCAAUUGUCAGAGAUGGGGGUGUCUUAAAAGCAAAUAGUUCCCCCCACCCAGACAUGAACCACUUCUCCUUUCCAGCUCGACGAUAGGAUACCCACAGGAGGCAGGGAAAACCUGGGGGCAGUGAGAAAGCAUUAAGUCCCGUGCCACUUCCCACAGUAACCACUAACCACCUGCGGCUAUUUAAAUCAACUGGAAUUUUAAAAAAGGAAAAAUUCAGUUCCAUGGUCACACGAACCAUGUUUCAAGUGCUCAGCAGCCAUGGCUGGCUUAGUGGCCAUGGAAGAUACAGGAAGCAGUUCCACCAUUGUAGAAAGUUCCAUUGGACAGUUCGGGGUUAGAAGAACCCGCAUCUCUUUUAAAAAGUAGGGAACAGGAGACCCUCUGCUUCCUUGAAUUGAAAGGCUCUCUCUUUCCCUGCUAACCGAGGACCUCAAGGAGAAGAUGCUGGUUGAAAGAGCUAACACCCCCGCUGGCCAUAAAAAGGCUCAAAGGGCAUCGUUUAAUAAAGUUACAAAGGUUUCAUUUUC
Long non-coding RNA from Choloepus didactylus (southern two-toed sloth), 2845 nucleotides. RefSeq lists it as uncharacterized. NCBI's taxonomy places the organism in Eukaryota, Metazoa, Chordata, Mammalia, Pilosa, Megalonychidae. The transcript is spliced from 2 exons. The record is from RefSeq and is a predicted model, not a curated record.